Neodiprion virginianus is the source of this 643-nucleotide long non-coding RNA. RefSeq lists it as uncharacterized. The transcript has 3 exons. NCBI's taxonomy places the organism in Eukaryota, Metazoa, Arthropoda, Insecta, Hymenoptera, Diprionidae. The record is from RefSeq and is a predicted model, not a curated record.
CGAAUAAAUUAAAUCUUAAAUGCGUUCACAUGCCGAGUAGUGCAAAAUAAAAUUCAACUACGGAUGAGUGACCCAACGGCUGAUAUUCACGUGUAAAAUCGAGAAGGCAAGAGCGACAAAAAGGAGGAGAGAAGGAAAAAGACGGACGAGUCGGUCACCUGGGGAAAUUAACGUAACAAGUUUCUGUACGCAUAAUUAAACCCUCCCGUACUCUGCGGUAUAGACGCAGCAAUCAAGCGAACGGCGUGAUUUAAGUGUUAAUAUUCGUCCAAGACUCGCCUCGGACUCUCCAGGAUUUAAAUCCCGCGAGAAAUGCUUGAGAAUGUCCGAGGAAUAACUUCUUUUCGUUAUUCUUUAGACGGAGAAAUAUAUCUGCAGCCGGGGACGAUGAAAUCCCGAUGCAGCAAUAAGCUAUCCGUUAAACAGAUGAACUGCAGGAAUGUCGAUACUUCGAAAAACGUCGGAUUGUCCGGACGAUGAAAUUUUCCCACCUUGUGGAAAAUCUGAGGCGAGAGGAAGGCUUUGCAUCGUUGGAUUCCGACCUCCCGGAGAGAAUUCAUAAUAUUGGACUAGAACCGAUGAAAAGCAGAGAGGAAGUAGUGAAAACAAAUCCAGACUGGUAUCUGCAAUCGGGAAAAUCUUU